GCUUUCUAUUCCGCAGAACCAUUACCUGUUCUGUGGCUUAGUUGGUUAAAGCGCCGGUCUAGCGAAUACGGAGUCGUGGGUUCGAAUCCCACCAGAACGCGAUUUUUUUUUCACAAAUUUCAUCUCUCAAUUUGCCAAUAAGCAACAUUUCGUGCCUUCUAAUUACAAGUUUUUCCACCAUAUUUUGCACUUGAAUAGUUUUUUUUUUGACAUUUUGAAACAUAGUUGAAUACGGUUAUGCAACAAACAUUGAUUACGCUUUAGAAAAGAAACUGAAUUUUCAUCCUCAAUUUGAAAAAGAAGACGUGUAGUUUGUGUAUUGAAAGUUGUCAGAAUUAUGUACUGUAAAACAUACUAAGAAACAUUAUUAAGUAUGCUUUGAUUCAUAUAGAACAUGAUUAUAACAUCUCAAAUAUGUUGCCGAAGCUCCACCUUCUGCGCUUUUUCGGUCAUAUAUCUGUCUGAAAAACGGUUUUAUUGUUAUGAACCAAAACACAGUAACUGGUCAUAUUGGAGUCGAAAUAAUUCCUAUAGAACAUGU
Long non-coding RNA from Aedes albopictus (Asian tiger mosquito), 541 nucleotides. RefSeq lists it as uncharacterized. NCBI's taxonomy places the organism in Eukaryota, Metazoa, Arthropoda, Insecta, Diptera, Culicidae. The transcript is spliced from 2 exons. The record is from RefSeq and is a predicted model, not a curated record.